Molecule: ribosomal RNA, 253 nt
Filed under: uncultured bacterium
Lineage: Bacteria
Description: partial 16S ribosomal RNA
Rfam family: Bacterial small subunit ribosomal RNA
Source: RNAcentral
UACGUAGGGUGCGAGCGUUAAUCGGAAUUACUGGACGUAAAGCGUGCGCAGGCGGUUUUGUAAGCCAGAUGUGAAAUCCCCGGGCUUAACCUGGGAAUGGCAUUUGGGACUGCAAGGCUGGAGUUUGGCAGAGGAGACUGGAAUUCCCGGUGUAGCAGUGAAAUGCGUAGAUAUCGGGAGGAAUACCGAUGGCGAAGGCAGGUCUCUGGGCUAUAACUGACGCUCAUGCGCGAAAGCGUGGGGAGCAAACAGG